UUUUGUAUAAUGGGUCAGCGACUUAUAUUCUGUAGCAAGGUUAACCGAAUAGGGGAGCCGAAGGGAAACCGAGUCUUAACUGGGCGUUAAGUUGCAGGGUAUAGACCCGAAACCCGGUGAUCUAGCCAUGGGCAGGUUGAAGGUUGGGUAACACUAACUGGAGGACCGAACCGACUAAUGUUGAAAAAUUAGCGGAUGACUUGUGGCUGGGGGUGAAAGGCCAAUCAAACCGGGAGAUAGCUGGUUCUCCCCGAAAGCUAUUUAGGUAGCGCCUCGUGAAUUCAUCUCCGGGGGUAGAGCACUGUUUCGGCAAGGGGGUCAUCCCGACUUACCAACCCGAUGCAAACUGCGAAUACCGGAGAAUGUUAUCACGGGAGACACACGGCGGGUGCUAACGUCCGUCGUGAAGAGGGAAACAACCCAGACCGCCAGCUAAGGUCCCAAAGUCAUGGUUAAGUGGGAAACGAUGUGGGAAGGCCCAGACAGCCAGGAUGUUGGCUUAGAAGCAGCCAUCAUUUAAAGAAAGCGUAAUAGCUCACUGGUCGAGUCGGCCUGCGCGGAAGAUGUAACGGGGCUAAACCAUGCACCGAAGCUGCGGCAGCGACGCUUAUGCGUUGUUGGGUAGGGGAGCGUUCUGUAAGCCUGUGAAGGUGUACUGUGAGGUAUGCUGGAGGUAUCAGAAGUGCGAAUGCUGACAUAAGUAACGAUAAAGCGGGUGAAAAGCCCGCUCGCCGGAAGACCAAGGGUUCCUGUCCAACGUUAAUCGGGGCAGGGUGAGUCGACCCCUAAGGCGAGGCCGAAAGGCGUAGUCGAUGGGAAACAGGUUAAUAUUCCUGUACUUGGUGUUACUGCGAAGGGGGGACGGAGAAGGCUAUGUUGGCCGGGCGACGGUUGUCCCGGUUUAAGCGUGUAGGCUGGUUUUCCAGGCAAAUCCGGAAAAUCAAGGCUGAGGCGUGAUGACGAGGCACUACGGUGCUGAAGCAACAAAUGCCCUGCUUCCAGGAAAAGCCUCUAAGCAUCAGGUAACAUCAAAUCGUACCCCAAACCGACACAGGUGGUCAGGUAGAGAAUACCAAGGCGCUUGAGAGAACUCGGGUGAAGGAACUAGGCAAAAUGGUGCCGUAACUUCGGGAGAAGGCACGCUGAUAUGUAGGUGAAGCGACUUGCUCGUGGAGCUGAAAUCAGUCGAAGAUACCAGCUGGCUGCAACUGUUUAUUAAAAACACAGCACUGUGCAAACACGAAAGUGGACGUAUACGGUGUGACGCCUGCCCGGUGCCGGAAGGUUAAUUGAUGGGGUUAGCGGUAACGCGAAGCUCUUGAUCGAAGCCCCGGUAAACGGCGGCCGUAACUAUAACGGUCCUAAGGUAGCGAAAUUCCUUGUCGGGUAAGUUCCGACCUGCACGAAUGGCGUAAUGAUGGCCAGGCUGUCUCCACCCGAGACUCAGUGAAAUUGAACUCGCUGUGAAGAUGCAGUGUACCCGCGGCAAGACGGAAAGACCCCGUGAACCUUUACUAUAGCUUGACACUGAACAUUGAGCCUUGAUGUGUAGGAUAGGUGGGAGGCUUUGAAGUGUGG
This 1578-nucleotide ribosomal RNA is filed under the name Escherichia coli. RNAcentral describes it as "partial 23S ribosomal RNA". It matches the Rfam family "Bacterial large subunit ribosomal RNA", at positions 606 to 2167 of the family's 2925-position model. Lineage: Bacteria; Pseudomonadati; Pseudomonadota; Gammaproteobacteria; Enterobacterales; Enterobacteriaceae. The record is from RNAcentral.